CAUCAGCAAGAAACAAACACUAUCUGUGCAUUACUGAAACUUGUAAGCACAUGAAUAAAGAAGAGAUCCAAGUCAACCACACCGAUGGGACAGACCUCUUCACUUGACAAAACCUCACCUGUUAACUGGAUCUAUUCAGGAAGAAAGAGGCAAAUCCAAAUUGUGGGAUGUUGAGAGGCAACUGGCCAAGUAUUUUGACAAUGCCAAUAUCUUUAGAGAAAAAAAAAUGCGACAAAUUAAAGGAAAAGGAGAUUAAAGAAGAAUCAAGAGGCAUGAAACGAAAAGCCAUUCAUGAUCCUGUGGGCCUCUCCCCAGGGCAGCUGGAGCAUCCUCACAACAUGGCGGCUGUUUUCUCCCAGAGCCACUGGUUCAAGACAGAGAGUGAAAGGCAGAAGUGGCAGUAUCUUUUAUGGCCUAGUCUUGGAAGUCACAUACUAUCAUUUCGAAAAUAUCCUAUUGGUUACACAGCAAUAAAUAAAACAUUAAAAAAAUAAAUAGACGGAAAGGAUUCCAGACCAUAGUUCUUCAUAUGGGUUCUAGAAGGUGGGUGCAGAGAUCUACUUGUGUUGCAGCUGCCCAAGGCAAGCCUUCUAUGUAAGUUCCUUUGCUUAUUAAACCUGCCACCUAUCAA
This is a long non-coding RNA of Hyaena hyaena (striped hyena), 631 nucleotides long. RefSeq lists it as uncharacterized. The record is from RefSeq and is a predicted model, not a curated record. Lineage: Eukaryota; Metazoa; Chordata; Mammalia; Carnivora; Hyaenidae. The transcript is spliced from 3 exons.